Molecule: long non-coding RNA, 300 nt
Organism: Alligator sinensis (Chinese alligator)
Lineage: Eukaryota; Metazoa; Chordata; Crocodylia; Alligatoridae
Exons: 3
Source: RefSeq, a predicted model, not a curated record
CCCUUGUUGACCCACAAAACCCCCCCGCCGCGGCGGCGCCUGCUGCCACCCCGGCUGGGCCCCAGGCCUGCUGCGGGCUUGGUCCACCAGGAGCGGGGCCUGCGCUGUGCUCUUGGCCCUGCCUGGCGCCACUUGCUGAGAUGAAAGUGACCGUCUGCUUUGGCAAGACGGGGAUCGUGGUUCCCUGCAAGGAUGGGCAGCUCCGUGUCUGCGACCUGACCCAGCAGGCGCUCCAGCGGUACCUCAAAACCAAAGAGAAGGUCAAUUGAACUGCACCAUGCUGUCAUGAGUCUUGAAUCC